RNAcentral lists this ribosomal RNA (253 nucleotides) under uncultured bacterium. RNAcentral describes it as "partial 16S ribosomal RNA". It matches the Rfam family "Bacterial small subunit ribosomal RNA", at positions 524 to 776 of the family's 1533-position model. The record is from RNAcentral.
UACGGGGGGGGCAAGCGUUGUUCGGAAUUACUGGGCGUAAAGGGCUCGUAGGCGGCCAACUAAGUCGGACGUGAAAUCCCCCGGCUUAACCGGGGAACUGCGUCCGAUACUGGAUGGCUGGAGGUUGGGAGAGGGAUGCGGAAUUCCAGGUGUAGCGGUGAAAUGCGUAGAUAUCUGGAGGAACACCGGUGGCGAAGGCGGCAUCCUGGACCAAUUCUGACGCUGAGGAGCGAAAGCCAGGGGAGCAAACGGG